RNAcentral lists this transfer RNA (73 nucleotides) under Stegodyphus mimosarum. It matches the Rfam family "tRNA". Rfam says of the family: Transfer RNA (tRNA) molecules are approximately 80 nucleotides in length. Their secondary structure includes four short double-helical elements and three loops (D, anti-codon, and T loops). The record is from Rfam by way of RNAcentral. Lineage: Eukaryota; Metazoa; Arthropoda; Arachnida; Araneae; Eresidae.
GCCUUCGUGGUGUAAUGGUCAACAUACUCGGCGUGUAUUCCAGAAGUCCGUGGUGCGAGUCCCGGCGAGGGCA